Mesocricetus auratus (golden hamster) is the source of this 3299-nucleotide long non-coding RNA. RefSeq lists it as uncharacterized. The record is from RefSeq and is a predicted model, not a curated record. Lineage: Eukaryota; Metazoa; Chordata; Mammalia; Rodentia; Cricetidae. The transcript is spliced from 2 exons.
UUAAAUGCCCUUCCCUGACAAUGAGAUUGAUGACUACCUCGUAUGCCAUCCUAGAACCUUCAUCCAGUGGCUGAUGGAAGCAGAGGCAGACACCUAAACACUGAACUGAAUUCCCUCCCUCAUUAGACACUGCUGGAGAAACGGGGAGUAAGGAAAGGAAGUACAUUUCCAUGGAAGACAGUUACGAUGUGGGAAGCAGAGAAUUGGGGGUUACAGCCACAGACCCAGGACAAUCAGCUGCAAAUUAAUUUUCCUCUUCUUCUCUCUGGAUUUCUCCAGCUGUUAUUUACAAGCUGUCAAAUGUUAUGGUUGGAGUGAUUUGUACAGGAUAGGUGGCAAGAGCCUAUUUGAUCCGCUGGUUUCUUGGCUGUUUGUAGCAGCUGCUCAGCUCCUGACCAACUUUCUCUGCCUACAGAGAAGAUGGAAAUGACAGUCUUCCCAGCCCAUCAGGCCUGGGUUCUAAUUGAAGUGGCACCCCUUCCAUGAUGUGCUCUGGGUUGAACUAUUACAUAUCUCCAGGCCACAAUUUCCUUGUUCUUAAAAUGCAGAUCAUAGCAGGAUGACAGAUCGUAUAGGUAAACGCACCUGAAGAGUUGUUACGUGGAAACAUCUUAAAGGGCUCUGGGAGAACUUUUCUAGAUGAAAUAUUUCUUAAGUAGGGCUUUAUCCACACUUGAAUUUCUCAGUGAAGGGUUACUUCCAAGAAGAGCAGACAAGGUAAUUCCCAAUAAAUCUCACAGAGGGCAUUCCAGGAAGCCAGGCAAAUGAACAAAAAUAAAAGUUUAAAGCAACAAAGUGGCCAGAUAUGGACUAGGCAAUUGGCAAGCUUUGUGAGGGAACUUCUGCUGAGGUGAGCGUGAACCUGCCAGGGGUCAACCGGGAACUAGCUGUCCCUGCUGAUCUUGCUCAGACAGAGGCUGCUUACCCAGCUGAUGACUUUCUGAUGUCACCAACUGAAAGUGCCCUGUGGAGAGCAUAACCCCCCACCAAGGAACACACGACCAUUCUGGUAAGUCUGCUCCCUUCCAGCAGAUGGGAGGCCUACUGCAGUAGGCUGCCUGUCUCUUUGCUGACUGUUGUCCAAUGAAGCCCUUCCCUUUUACAAAAAUGUAGUCACAGCAUUCAGUGCAUGAUAGGUGAUCCUAGCCUAGCAUCACGGCAAUCAACAAGAUUGUAGAAAAUGCUGCACCAAAAUCUGGAAGAGGCCUGAGUCCAGAGACAGGAACAUGGCACAUGGGGCCACUGGGGGUUUGGCACUGACUGAAAACAGUGGUUGAAACCCGGACCACCAAAGGUGCUGCAGAAUUCUAGGAUUUUGCUAAAAGAGACCCCAGCUUUGGGCUGGCUAUGCGUGCCUCAGAGCUGUGUUUCAGGAGCUGGAGGUCCUGGUAUAGCAUCCCUAAGGUCCAGAAUCCUGGUCCCCACUGAUGAAGAAAACUUCAAGUCUAGAAUUUGGGAACAACUAGUCCCAGACCACUACUUCUCAAGGAGCUCUACAGAAGCAUAAAGAGUUCCCUUCAAGAAAGACGCAGUCCUGGCCCUCAUUUGACUUCAGUUACUCUGAAGAGGUACUGCAUGAGCUCAUCGUCCAAGACCAUCACACACAAAGAGACAGAAGACAGAGAAGAGUCAGGAGCAAGAGUUGUUAAAACCAGAACUACCAUGACCCAGAGAAUGUUUUCUGUCCACCGGCUUCAACCAAAAUUAAUGGCUUCCUGUCACUUCCACUGCUCUAAUUUGUUGCUGGAGACAUAAAUGCCUCCUUGGUGAGGCUCACAUGCUUUUCUGCAAGGAAUCGGUGAUUUGGUUAGCUGGCAAAGAUUGAGGAUCUGGUCUUUCAUCACGAAGAUGAAGAUAUCAUCAUGGCAAGGAGACUGGCCCUCUUUCCAAAGUGCCGGGGUCGGCACCCGUUAAAGGGAGUGUGUGGCGCCCAUGCGCCUUCCACUCAUACCUUCUCUUGCAAGUUCAAGCGAGCACUUGCCCAUUGCAGAGGAGGUAUGGACACAGGACCUCUCCAGAGCAGGUGGAGAGGGACAAGGGCCACAGUGACAAUUGCAGGUGGCUCACAUAUGUUGCAGUAAGCACAGGCGCUGUGGUUAAGGGAAGACCAAGGGUUGACAUGGAUUGUCUGGAACCUCAGAAGAAGAGGGGUAAAAGAGCUUGCUGGUUGGGUAAGAGGUGGCCAAGCUAGAGAAAUGAGAGGAGGGACAGGCUCUGGGAUAGUGAUGGUAGGCUGGCUGUCCCCCCCCCAAUCCUGUCCCCACUGAUGGCACAAUCAUCACCCACAUAUUCUCACUUGUAAUGCAGCUAAUUGCGAUAGACUAAAUCGUGAGGUGGCUUCUCAUAGUAAGGUUCAACCUAGCAGAUCGACCCAGGCCACCCUACAGAUAAAUAUACAGAGUAGACAAGAGACUGUAGCUGCUUCAUAGUGGCUGGGAUAGAGUGACUCUUUGCCAUGGCAAAGCUAAAAGCUGGUCAUGCAAAUGUGGCGACAAAGAGAUCUUAGUAUAAUUAUCAGCACCGGAGAGCCUACAGUAUUGAAGAUCAGUAACGGUGACAAGUGGCUGAGUUAGCGGAUGUUCAAUAUCAGAACGGAGUCAGAGAGGGAUAGAGGGGACUUCCACCACUCCCAACUGUGUGCCUCACAGAACACUGCCUGACCAUUAACCUAGUGUGGUGAGGGGACAUGCGUAGGGCAUGUGGGCCCUCCAUUGACUCAACUCAUGACAACCCAGAGAUUUAGCCAGUCUUAAUAGCUGUUUCCUCAGCUUCCAUCCAAUUUUAUUAUAAAGCAUCUAGACAAAAGGAAUUCAAUGACUUUUCCCUCCCAACUUUUGGGAGUCUCCCCCUUAAUUCUUUACCUCAAUUUUCUACGUUUCUGUAAUUUUUUUUGAGACAGGGUUUCUCUGUGUAGCCUUGGCUAUCCUGGAACUCACUGUGUAGACCAGGCUGGCCUCCAACUCACAGAGAUCCACCUGCCUCUGUCUUCCUAGUGCUGUGAUUAAAGGUGUGCGCCACCACUGCCCGGCACUUUUCUGUAAAUUCUUAAUGAAGUCUUUAAUAAUAUGCUUCUGCUUCACAUGCCCACAUGAGUGUUCACGGCAUUAUUAUGGUUUUUUUCUGGUAUGAGACAAUGAGUACAGAGACAUUUUCACAGGUUAAUCUUUGAUGACUAAGAGAUACCUGGCUUUGAUUCACCCACAGCUGGGCUGUGAAAGGUCCUGCUAAACUCAGAACCACAUUAGUACCAAGAGCCUCGUUUCUCAACAAUGACCCAAAUAAAGAUCACUUAUGCAAGA